RNAcentral lists this ribosomal RNA (1720 nucleotides) under Petrotoga sp. HKA.pet.4.5. RNAcentral's name for it is "partial 23S ribosomal RNA". It matches the Rfam family "Bacterial large subunit ribosomal RNA", at positions 1 to 1725 of the family's 2925-position model. The record is from RNAcentral. Lineage: Bacteria; Thermotogati; Thermotogota; Thermotogae; Petrotogales; Petrotogaceae.
CAAAGAGAGAAGGGCAUACGGUGGAUGCCUAGCCAGCUGGAAGCGAAGAAGGACGUGGUAAGCUACGAAAAGCUGUGGGGAGCUGCAAACGAGCGAAGAUCCGCAGAUAUCCGAAUGGGGAAACCUGCCGAAAGGCAUCCUGGAGACAGGAGGCGAAGCUGGGGAAGUGAAACAUCAUAGUACCCGGUGAAAAGAAAUCAAACGAGAUUCCCCUAGUAGCGGCGAGCGAAAAGGGAAGAGCCCAAACAGUAGCGAUGUAAAAGCGGGCAGGCGUUGUUGCUACUGAGUUGUGGGUAACAGCUACCCGAACUGCCAGAUAGGGGGUUGGAUAUAUAUACGAAGUGGAAAGGCAUGGGAAGGCCUACCGAAGAAGGUGAAAGUCCUGUACACGAAAGUAUAUAGAUUCGACUGCUGUUAACCCGAGUAGCGUAGGACACGAGGAAUCCUGCGUGAAGCUGGGUGGACCUCCAUCCAAGGCUAAAGAGGACAGCUGAGCGAUAGUGGAAUAGUACCGUGAGGGAAAGGUGAAAAGGACCCCGGGAGGGGAGUGAAAGAGAACCUGAAACCGUAUGCCUACAGGAAGCGGGAGCGAAAGUGACCGCGUGCCUUUUGAUUAAUGAGCCUGCGAGUUAUUUUCGGUGGCGAGGUUAAGCCGGUAGGUGGAGCCGAAGGGAAACCGAGUAUGAAUAGUGCGCAAGUCACUGGAAAUAGACCCGAAGCCAGGUGAGCUACCCAUGUGCAGGAUGAAGCUUGGGUAAAACCAAGUGGAGGUCCGAACUGGUGGAUAGUGAAAAAUCCUCGGAUGACAUGUGGGUAGGAGUGAAAAGCUAACCGAACCUGGGGAUAGCUGGUUCUCCCCGAAACGUGUGUAGGCACGGCCUCUGGAAGAAGAGUUAUGGAGGUAGAGCACUGAAUGGCGUAGGGGGGUAGACCUCUGAAACCAAUCAAACUCCGAAUGCCAUAACUGGAUACCAGGGAGAAAGACUGUGGGGAAUAAGCUUCAUGGUCGAGAGGGAAAGAGCCCAGACCGACAGCUAAGGUUCCGAAGAAGCGGCUAAGUGUGAAAGGAAGUGGACCUCUUGAGACAGCCGGGAGGUUGGCUUAGAAGCAGCCAUCCUUAAAAGAGUGCGUAACAGCUCACCGGUAGAAGAGGACUGCGCCGAAAAUGUAACGGAGCUAAAGCCGCGCACCGAAGCUACGGUAUAGCCGAAAGGCUAUAGGUAGGGGAGCAAUGUGCGAGGGAGAAGCGUAACUGGAAGGUUAUGUGGACGAAGCACAAGAGAGAAUGCAGGCAUGAGUAACGAAAUGGGAGUGAGAAUCUCCCACCCCUAAAGUCUAAGGUUACCUGGGGAAGGGUCGUCCGCCCAGGGUAAGUCGGGACCUAAGGUGAACCCGAAAGGGGUAGCCGAUGGAAAACGGGUGAAGAAUCCCGUACCAGUAAAAGAAGAGCUGCAAGGGGGGACACAGGAGGUAAAGCUACCGAGAUAGGGUUGCAAAUCUUCCAAGCGACGAUGCCGAAGAAGCCGGUAGGGAAAUCCGCUGGUGGAGGAGGAGUCGUGAUGGGGAGGCCGCAAGGCCAACGGUAGAUAAUCACACUGUCAAGAAAAGCCUCGUGUAGCGUUGAUUUUUUUACUGCCCGUUCUGGAAACCGACACAGGUAGACGAGCUGAGAAGGCAAAGGGGAGCGGAAUAACCUUCGUUAAGGAACUAGGCAAAAUGG